GUCAUCUAAAAAUGACUAGUGUUCCUAAACAUGAUGUGAUUUCACAAGCUUAAACAUGUCUGACGUUCUUUUCUAACCUUUGCUGGAUGCUUCAACAGUGUUUGGCUGUCAAUAAUUUACCCUGGCUGAUUGAGUUUAUACUUGCCUGCUUUGUGAAUAAAAGUGUUUGGAUUACAAAGAAGAGAUUGAGUUAUCCUGCAGAGAGAUGGUGCAAUAAGCAGAUUUUUCUCUUCUUUCAUCCACAGCAUUAUUUCAGCUGGGAGCUGUAGUAUGUGACUAAUUAGCCAAUGGAAGUCCACUCUCUGGACUUUCUGGUGGUAUAUUUACACUGAAUUCUGGCCUGAUAAUAAAGGUGUCACCCAGUGUAACAAUGUGACACACCCAGAGUGAAGAAGAAAAGUCUAAGAUAACACAGAGCCUCUGUCAGCCCUCAAACUUAUUUUUCACAAGCUUCAGCAAUAUUCCAAACAACAAAAGAAAUAUGACUGAACAGACACAAAUUUUGAGGACAUAUUUUUUCCCCAGUAUUUUUUUAACAGGUACUACUGAUGUCCCAGUGCUUUUGAGGGUCUUGUUUGUCCUCCUGGAUGCUUUAGGAAGUUACCACUUUCAGCUCACCUAGAGCUGAUCUCAUUAAUAAAAGAAUGACUUUACAGAAAAGAGUUUCUAAAAUUAUACUCUCACUCAGAAUUGCAAGAGUUGGCUUUUCAGCCUGAAGAUAAAUUUCUUAAGCAUUAAGCUUACUUUAUCAAGUAUUACACCUGACAUUCUCUCAUAAAUUUUGCAUAUAUUUUAACUAAUUUUAAUAUUGUGUGGGCUUGGUUUAUAAUAUUCUCAUGCAGUUACUAAAGUUGAAUCUUCUCAGUCAUAUAUUAGUUGUAAGAAUGCUUAACCCCUUCCAAAAUAUCACUCACUUAAAAUCACAUCAGCUAAGUCUCCUCUUAUUUUUGCUUAUUUCUUGGUUAUUUACCAUGCAUUUUGUGUAUGUUGGAACCAGCCAUGCAGUCGUUGUAUUCCUUUUUUGAGAGGGCAAAUGUAUUUUGACAAGGUUGCUAUUGGAAACACUUUUUAAAUAUCUCAUGUGUCACAUCACAAUCAGCAUCAUAAUCUGAUCAGGUGGAUUAAUUUCAGAAGGCAGCAGAGGGCAUUGCUUACAGGGGUCACAGACAUUCAGAUCAUGGCAGAACUGUCACAGAUGUUACUUUGUGAAAACACAAAGAAUAAUGUGUUUGGAGAGAUCAGUCUUCAAUUAGCUAUAUUUUCUAGGAGCCUACCUUUACUUAGCCUCACAACAUGGGCCUUAGCUUUAGCACUUAAUCUGCACAAAUACCUGGCUUAAGUGUUAUGACUGACUGGCUAUUCAACCAAACCAUACAAAUGACCAAUUCGGUAAGAAAGCAUGAACUUCAGUGUUGAACCAAAUCAACCAACCUCCUCAAUCCAAAUGAACAAUGCUAUUCUAGGAGUCUGUGCUAGAAUAAAAUCCUAAUGCAAAGGCUGUCUUAAAAUGCUGAACCCAGAAGAAUUUGGCAUAAAUAAGACAUGGAGUUAGCUGACAUGAGAUAUUACAUUUAUUCCACUGUUGACGAGGACAAAACUGGGCCGCUAUUGUCACAGGAGAGGAUAACAAAGGAAGCUGAGGAAGUCUGUUCUGGAGGCACCAUGACAAAGCACCAGACAGAAAGCAGUCACGUGUGGGGAGAUGAGCAGAGACACCACUUCUCAAGCACCUGAUUAUUCUUUCUCAGUAUUUAGAAGCAAAAAUUAUCCUUAAGAAAAACAACCGCAAACGCAACACAGGCUACACAGAUGAGAAAAUGGGGCUUGCAGAGCUCAAACCAUUACACCAUUCAGAAGCUGGCUUUGGUAUUACUUCAAGUUAUUCAAAACAGUCACCACUUGCUGAGCCUCUGAUGUCUCAUCUGUUGAAUGGAUUUCAAGAGAGAAGGCUGAAAAGGAAGGUGACUGGAAUAUUAAGAACUGUGAGAUAUUCUGAGGAAACUCUAAUUUGUAAAUUGGUAGAAAUGCCAGUAAUUUGUUGGGAAUUGAAGACCCUCUGUAUUCAAGAGCGAAGCUUGGCAGCUGUGCACUGUUGUUUUAUAAAUCAAUAUUACAUCUGAAGGUGGUGUUUGAAUGUUUGUGUCAUUGGGGUUUGUCUCCAACAUAGUCCUGUGACAAGAAAUGUUCAAACAAAACAAACACAAUCCCUUCCCUGUCCUUUAGGAUAAAGUCCAAACGUAAUUCCACAACAGGGAUAUAACAUUCAAAUCAACUACAGAACUUCUGUAAUUAUAUAAAACCCCACGACCACAGAAAUGCAAUUGAAUUGAAGACACUUUGCAAUAUUCCCCAAGAAAGGACUGUGUGGCUGUCAGAUUAACAAAAGUCAAGAGGUGGUGAGACAAUGCUCACCAUUGCAAAAAAGAGCUUUGUGCAUAAUGAACAGAAUUUGCAUGCCUGUUUAGGAAAUUAAGGUGAAGCCAAGGUGACUUAGGGUCACAUGAGGAGUCACAAC
This 2515-nucleotide long non-coding RNA is filed under the name Homo sapiens (human). RNAcentral's name for it is "HSALNT0302704". Lineage: Eukaryota; Metazoa; Chordata; Mammalia; Primates; Hominidae. The record is from RNAcentral.